CUCUCUGAUGAGAAGCUUAUCACAGAUGUGUAUGGAGAUCCAUGAGGAUAGAAGACUGAGGAGAC
This 65-nucleotide small nucleolar RNA is filed under the name Erinaceus europaeus (western European hedgehog). RNAcentral describes it as "Small nucleolar RNA SNORD25 (ENSEEUG00000022727.1)". The record is from RNAcentral. Lineage: Eukaryota; Metazoa; Chordata; Mammalia; Eulipotyphla; Erinaceidae.